Long non-coding RNA from Sceloporus undulatus (fence lizard), 925 nucleotides. RefSeq lists it as uncharacterized. The record is from RefSeq and is a predicted model, not a curated record. NCBI's taxonomy places the organism in Eukaryota, Metazoa, Chordata, Lepidosauria, Squamata, Phrynosomatidae. The transcript is spliced from 4 exons.
GAAACUAUGGUCAUCGGCUGUGAAAACCUUCAAAUUAAUGUGAUUUCAUUUAAUUUACCAGAAAUAUGUUUUGCUUUUUAAUACAGUUUUUUAUACAGUAAUAGUACAUGAGAACGUCUUAGGACAAUAUCAUACAAGGCUUCUAUUGCAGGACUAGAGCAAGGUAGUAACAUUAUUGGGUAGUAUUUUACUGCAUGAUAUUGUCUUUCAUCUCAUUGCUAGUGUAUCCUUCACUCAGUUCUGAAACACACCUUGCCAUUGAUGAGGAAAGCCUGACAAUAUCUCCCAAUAGCACAAGUGCCCAGUCCUCCUCGUGUGAUAAUCUCUUCUGUUUCAGAAAUAGAAGAGAUAACAGUCACAUGGCACGAGAAGGCAGGAUUCUCCUCCUCUUACCCUCUCUCUUCCUUCCUCCUUACUCUUGGAUAUGGUGGGGAACUGUACUUUGAACAACUCGGACAAUUUACUCUUUCAUUUUUACAGGGCUCACGAAGGGUAGAAGAAAUGGAGAUCCAUUACGAAGUAACCUGAAGAGGAUAGAAGGUCUUCGUCAAAAAAAAUUGAUGGUGAAAGCUUUCAUAAAAGAUAUGAAAAGUUCUGUGAGAACAGAUGAGAAACUUAUUGCCAUGUUAGGAAAGGUUGCAGACGAUUUUGAGUCCGAUGAAUUGGCAGUCGCGGAUGUAUUAAACGGUAAUGUUGGAAAUUUUGACAUUCUAUUGUGUGUGGGGGGGGAGGGGGUUCUCGCUGUUAUGAAAGGACAUCGCUUAUUUCUAGCAUCCCUCAGGGCGCCAUCCUGUCCCUGAUGCUAUUUCUGGGGGACUUGGAAACUGGUACACACACACCUUGACUCGGUUUCUGCAAUGCACUCUACAUGGGGCUAUCCUUGUACUUAAUCCAGAAACUUCAAUUGGCACAGGAUAUUUUAUUA